This is a long non-coding RNA of Panicum virgatum (switchgrass), 3988 nucleotides long. RefSeq lists it as uncharacterized. The record is from RefSeq and is a predicted model, not a curated record. NCBI's taxonomy places the organism in Eukaryota, Viridiplantae, Streptophyta, Magnoliopsida, Poales, Poaceae. The transcript is spliced from 2 exons.
AGAAUAAUAUGCGCUAUCCUCUUCGGCAGAGUCUGCGUCUUCCAGCUAGUAUCUUCAUUUUCUUCCAUGCCGCAAGGCCAUCGACAGAUCGAGACAGGCGAUCUGGAUCGCUAUGCUCUAUGCGCACCAUACUACGCAGGUGCUUCGCGGGAAGGGCGCCGGCUCCACCCACUCGGCGCCUCGGCAGACGGCGGCGGGCGUAGGGGCUCCACUGCGCCGCGUGCGAGCUGAGCCGAUCCGGCCGAUGCGCGCCGUAGUGUGCAGGGGAUUCCUGGCCAGGACACUCGUUCGGCCGCUCGGUGCCUCGGCGAACGGCGCCUGCGGGGGUUCCUCCCCGCGCUGCGCGCGUGUUGGCGUAUAGCAGCUUGACGGCCAGGGCGCUUGUUCGUCUGCUCGGCGCCUCCGCCGGCGGCCGUGGCUGCGGGCGUCGGGGAUCCAUCGCGCCGCGGACGCGCUAUAGGCCAGAAGGCACUGUGUGCAGAAGGGAGGGGUCAUGGGCUCAUGGCCGGACUGAGCAGAGCAACGAGGUAGUGAAGUGUGGACGAAGGUGAGGUGAGGAUCGAGGAACUGGUUCAUAUUUUGUGAAAAAUAUGUCAUUGCAAUAAUUAACUAUUUACUUAUAGCACUGCAAUAAUUAACUUAUGGUGCUCACAAUGAGGUAGUGACAUUUGAUGGAAAGUUGAAUUGCAUUAUAUAGUAGUAGGCAUGAAAGAAGUGUAUGCAGAUUAACGAUUACAAAAGAUAUACUGCAUAUUCAGAAUGCUAUGGAAAGUAUAUAUUAGUAGGUUUCCUGUCCAAAAGGAAUUCCACAAAAGUCUCCUUCUACCCGGAUUCAAGGAAUGCUCUUCUUUUUCUUAAAAGAUCCAUCGUUGUGCUCCUCGAGCAGGUACCUGUAUGCAAUAGAUAAUGAUAGUUAAACAAUAGUCCAAUUGGAUAGUUUAGGGUACAGAAGAAGUCUCUUACAGUACAUUGUGCAUUUUUAUAUUUGGUGUUUGAAUCAGUGUUGGUUAAUUAGCAGUCGUCAUGAGAAGAUGCAUAGGAUUUCUUAUACAGCAAUAAGGAUUUAAUACUAUAGUUUGUAAAAAUAUUAGUAGAAAGAAUGAAGGAGUCUUACUUAUAGUUUUGCUUUUUUGCCUUUGGAAAUAUGUCCUUUUGUAGAUUUAUAGUCCUCAUCACUAUUAUUGUCACCAUCGGUUGGUUGAUCCCUUUUGUUCUUGUGGCUAUCUUGUUCACUGAAACUUCAAUGAUCAUUGAAAAGUAAUUUAGUUAAAUUCAUGUAUAUGCAUAGGUUAGUCCAUACAGUAGCAAAGAAAUAAGAAUGCAUACCCGGUAGUUUCUAUUUCCAUGGGGUCAAUAUCUGUUUCAGACUUUUGUACCACUGGAAUUGCAUCCUAUAUGUUGGCAUUAAAUAUACUAUAAGCAAGUGCAAUAUUUUUUUUUGGAAACAAAAACUAAGAAUCAUAAGGAAGAAGUCACUUGUUUGUGUGUACCUGUUUUGUAUCAGUUUUGUAUUUGAUUGGAACCAGUGGUGGUACAUGCCUUGGAGUUGAUUAGUUGAAAGCAAUAUAGUACUGCUUUGUUCUUGUUUGCCGGAGCUUGUGAUAGUUGUUUCUUUGCCAAACUGGUGUGUUAUAUAAAGAACUUCAAAUGAUGGAUCCUUGCUGGCAAAACUUUUUUUUGAGGAAAUCUUGACAAUGAACGUGUACUUUUGUCCAAUCAAAGCAGCGAUUUCGACAGGAGUAUCAUUUUUGCCGUACAUAUUGAUCAAUUUUUUCUACUGGUUUCCCAAUCAGUUCUGCUUUUUUGUCGAAGAGAACGAAUUCAAGUUCAUGUGUGUUAUCACUGCCCAUAACACAAAGUUUAUACCUAUUUAAAGAAUAAAUUAGUACUCAAUUGUUUUUUGUCUAUGAAAGAAAGAGACUUGAAUAAGUGGGAAAUAUGUUAGUAAUGUGUGUACCUUGGCAUUGCUUCAGUGCAUACACAGUUGUCAUUUGUGCAUUUAUAAUUUGAACCAUGGAGAAAAGUCUUUGAGUGGCAUGAUUUACAUGCACGGUACCACCAUCCUUGAUUUGGAGCUAGCCUUGUAAUCACGAUGGUGGACUCAAAUUUAUGGUUCUGUAGAAAGGAAGGUACAAAGAUUAAAACUUAGCAUUAGAAUGUAACAGUUGAAGUGUACAUUAUUCAUAGAAUAGAUUGGCUUAAGAGACCUCAAUUUUAAUUUGUGAAUUAUAGAAGGUCCAUAUGUUGUAUAUUGAUAAGAUGUCAUAAAUUUAUCUAUUUCUGGUUUAUUGCAUGCUCAUAAAAGAAAAUAUGUGCUCAUUGACAGGCCAUCGAAAUAAGAAUACAUUGGGUCACAUAUUUUCUUUAUAUACCUUAUGAUCAAUUGGAUCAACUUGUUCCUUUAAUUGUAGCAGGGUCUUCUUUUCGAUAUGUUGCGCGUUCUCAUCAUCCCCUUGUAGCUGCAUUGCUUGUACUGGCUCUAUCUCAUCCUCUAUUUGCAAAAGCCUGUAAUGGUAAUUAAUAUAAUUAUACUAAUCUAUCUUUAUGUAUGGUGCAUAUAUAUUGUACGGAGUGGUAAAUUCUUACUUUGAAUAGAAUUCGUUGAUUGCUGGAAUGUCUUCAUUGAUGUACCAUCGGCAAGCAGAAUUUCCAGUUAGGAUCACUUUGUCGCCUUUUUCAGUUUUUAUAGUCUUUGCUAAUGUUCCAACAAAGAUAACAAUAACUGCAGUUUCUUGCCCAUUUGCAUAAACUGUUUCCGCAUCAAAUUCAAUUGCCCUUGGACCCCAUAGAGAUAUUUCAAUUGAGUUGCCUCUAGCAUAAGUUUUUAGGACAGGAAAAGAUGCAUUAUUGUUGUUGAACUUGAUUGCAAUAUUCAUGUGAAAAAUUAUCAAUGUACAUAACUUACUUGUCGUCCUUAAGGAUAAUAGUCCGUUUUGUUUGUAGCUUGCCAUAUCCAUAUUGGACUUUUGCAACAUUAGACACAGCUGUGACAUAGCCAAUGAUGUCUGUAUAGAAUGCAUAUAGAAUUAUGAUCAUGCAUAUAUUUUGGAAUUAAAAAAUAUAGUUAUAGUAGGAAUAUGUUACCUAGGAACCUAUCAGUAAGGUUGACAUGCUGGGGGAGCUCUGAGAAUUGGGUCAAGUUGUAGACAUAUUUUGGAAAAUUUGGUGGUUCUGGAACUACUGGAGUGAUGAUUGAUCUUUGAGUCAACUUUAUCAUGUAAGGUGCUUCCACCACUUUGUAGAUGCUUUUUGCUCUCUGAACUAAGAAUCUUUUGAUGUCAACUAUCUUUCCUUCUUGUAGAUGAGGUUUUAGAUAUGGAAUAUCUUCUUGUGGUAUUUCAACAUACAUGGCAUUGCUCUGUGAUCGGAAAUGGUUAGUGUUAUAAAAUGAUAUUAACAGUAGUGGAAGAAGUUAAAUAGUGAACUAAUAAAUAUGAAACAUACCUUUUCAUCUAUGAUGACCAAAUCUUGAUGUUUGAUUUGUCCAUUCUUGUCACAGAAUUCCCACAGCCUUGAUAUGCAAACACGUAUGUUCCAAUUCAGUCCAUGAGGAUUUAACUCUCAGGGAGCAGAUCAGGAAUUCAGGAUUUGAGACACUUAUCAACCAAUUGUUUGAGAUAACUGUAUGGUUCAGGUGGGCUGGUUCCUCUUUCUCUUUGGAAUGAUAGUUCACGUGGUGUUUCGAAAACUCUAAAUAUAUGUAUGAGAAAUAUGAAGAAGCAUCAGUGAGGGCACGGACAAGCAACAACACUGGAUUAAGAUGGCAUUUAGCCCGGUGAUAAAUGAAGGAGGUUGUCAAGUAGAUCCACACGUUUGCUAAUAGUAGUUACAUAUGUAAAAGGAAAAGCAAUAAAAACUUACCAGUUAGAUUCAGUUGAGAGUGCUUUUGUGACCUGUGAUACUGAGUUUGUUUUGCUGGAACAAAAUGACCCUUCGACUACUGGGUGCCUAUUUAUUUAUAGUAUGAGAUUGCUUGGCUGGAACAAAA